UGGGGAAUAUUGGACAAUGGGGGAAGCCCUGAUCCAGCGACGCCGCGUGUGUGAAGAAGGCCUGCGGGUUGUAAAGCACUUUCGGUGGGAACGAAAUAUGCCGGGCUAAUACCCCGGUAGGCUGACGUUACUCAAUGAAGAAGCACCGGCUAACUCUGUGCCAGCAGCCGCGGUAAUACAGAGGGUGCGAGCGUUAAUCGGAAUUACUGGGCGUAAAGCGCACGUAGGUGGCGACGUAAGUCGGGUGUGAAAGCCCCGGGCUCAACCUGGGAACCGCAUUCGAGACUGCGUUGCUGGAGUACGGAAGAGGAGGGCGGAAUUCCCGGGUGUAGCGGUGAAAUGCGUAGAUAUCGGGAAGAACAUCAGUGGCGAAGGCGGCCCUCUGGUCCAGUACUGACACUCAAGUGCGAAAGCGUGGGGAGCAAACAGGAUUAGAUACCCCAGUAGUCCCUGAGCGGGCUGGCAAGGCGCAU
Molecule: ribosomal RNA, 473 nt
Filed under: uncultured bacterium
Lineage: Bacteria
Description: bacterial SSU rRNA
Rfam family: Bacterial small subunit ribosomal RNA
Source: RNAcentral